This 217-nucleotide transfer RNA is filed under the name Lupinus albus (white lupine). RNAcentral describes it as "hypothetical ncRNA". The stretch from base 98 to 185 matches the Rfam family "tRNA". The record is from RNAcentral. Lineage: Eukaryota; Viridiplantae; Streptophyta; Magnoliopsida; Fabales; Fabaceae.
GUACGCGCGCUAGCGCGCUACGGCUUACGCAGUUGAUCGGAUCAGAUAGCCCUUCGGUUGGUUGCCCAACCGCACAUAAAAUUCCGAUCAACAACUUGGAGGUAUGGCUGAGUGGCUUAAGGCAUUGGUUUGCUAAAUCGACAUACAAGAAGAUUGUAUCAUGGGUUCGAAUCCCAUUUCCUCCGGCACGGAAGUGGAACGGGCGGGUGAAAUUACG